This 497-nucleotide ribosomal RNA is filed under the name uncultured bacterium. Its description in RNAcentral is "partial 16S ribosomal RNA". It matches the Rfam family "Bacterial small subunit ribosomal RNA", at positions 28 to 507 of the family's 1533-position model. The record is from RNAcentral.
GAUGAACGCUGGCGGCGUGCCUAAUACAUGCAAGUCGAGCGAACAGACGAGGAGCUUGCUCCUCUGACGUUAGCGGCGGACGGGUGAGUAACACGUGGAUAACCUACCUAUAAGACUGGGAUAACUACGGGAAACCGGAGCUAAUACCGGAUAAUAUAUUGAACCGCAUGGUUCAUUAGUGAAAGACGGCUUUGCUGUCACUCAUAGAUGGUUCUGCGCCGCUUUAGCUAGUUGGUAAGGUAACGGCUUACCAAGGCAACGAUGCGUAGCCGACUUGAGAGGGGGAUCGCCCACAUGGGAACGAGAACACGGACAAGACUCCUACGGGAGGAAGCAGUAGGGAACCGUCGGCAAUGGGGGAAAGCCUGACGGAGCAACGCGGCGUGGGUGAUAAAGGUCUUCGGAUCGUAAAACUCUGUUAUUAGGGAAAAACAGAGGUGGAAGGAACUGUGCACGUCUUGACGGUAGCUAAUCAGAAAGCCACGGCUAACUACGUG